Molecule: ribosomal RNA, 440 nt
Filed under: uncultured bacterium
Lineage: Bacteria
Description: partial 16S ribosomal RNA
Rfam family: Bacterial small subunit ribosomal RNA
Source: RNAcentral
CCUACGGGUGGCAGCAGUGGGGAAUAUUGCACAAUGGGGGAAACCCUGAUGCAGCGACGCCGCGUGAGUGAAGAAGUAUCUCGGUAUGUAAAGCUCUAUCAGCAGGGAAGAAAAUGACGGUACCUGAUUAAGAAGCCCCGGCUAACUACGUGCCAGCAGCCGCGGUAAUACGGAGGGGGCAAGCGUUAUCCGGAUUUACUGGGUGUAAAGGGAGCGUAGACGGCAGCACAAGUCUGGAGUGAAAUGCCGGGGCUUAACCCCGGAACUGCUUUGGAAACUGGGCAGCUAGAGUGCAGGGGAGGUAAGUGGAAUUCGUAGUGUAGCGGGGAAAUGCGUAGAUAUUAGGAAGAACACCAGUUGCGAAGGCGGCUUACUGGAGUGUUACUGACGCUGAGGCUCGAAGGCGUGGGGAGCAAACAGGAUUAGAUACCCGUGUAGUC